UACGGAGGGUGCAAGCGUUAUCCGGAUUUACUGGGUUUAAAGGGUGCGUAGGUGGGUAGGCAAGUCAGUGGUGAAAUCUUCGGGCUUAACCCGGAAACUGCCAUUGAUACUAUUUAUCUUGAAUACUCUGGAGGUAAGCGGAAUAUGUCAUGUAGCGGUGAAAUGCUUAGAUAUGACAUAGAACACCAAUUGCGAAGGCAGCUUACUACAUAGUUAUUGACACUGAGGCACGAAAGCGUGGGGAUCAAACAGG
This 253-nucleotide ribosomal RNA is filed under the name uncultured bacterium. Its description in RNAcentral is "partial 16S ribosomal RNA". It matches the Rfam family "Bacterial small subunit ribosomal RNA", at positions 524 to 776 of the family's 1533-position model. The record is from RNAcentral.